GAGCGCAAACGUCAAGGCGACCGAAAUCGUCGAAGCGCUAAGUGAACACCGAAAAUAGUAACGAAGUGUUUUGCAGGAAACAACAACAACAACAAAACAAGACACCACAAAAAAUAAGAAACAAAAACAACAAUAGUUGAAAAAUAAAACGGGAAAAAAUAUAAACAACUCCAAAGCAUGCUGGCGCCAACGAGACUAAGUGCAGCGCACCAACGACGCCUGAACCGUGGGUGGGUGGGUGUUAGCCGAGUUCGGUGGUUAACUGCUACUUGCUGCCGUCCGCCGUAUGGCGCGUAGUCGCGGUAAGCUAUUGGAAAGUAAAUAUGAUUAGGAAAAGGCAGCAUUAUUCGAAAGGGAAAACGGCAAAUGUGCGCGUCGUCAUCGUCGUCACGGCGCAAAUUUACGCAAACGAAACAACAACAACAAAUAGUGUGACUGCGCUAACCUCGAAUGUGCGGCGACAUAGCGGUGUGUGGUGCGGUUAUUUGGCUAGGUGGCUGGCUAGCUGGCGUCGUCAAUGCUGACGAAUGCGCCGAUAAUGACGGUAAUGCCAAAAGAUUCAUAGCCGUGGGGGUGAAUACUAAGCAAGCAGCAAGCAGCGAGCAGCGCGAUAGAGAUAGAGAGGAAGCAAGCAGCCGUGUCACGCGAAACAACGAAGUUCCGCGCACACUGUUUUUGCUGUUGUUGCCGCUACAUCCCCAUAUUGUGGUGGCAAUAGCAAAGUUUGUUGGCACCGCACACAUGCACAUACAUAUAUACACACACAAAUACAUACAUACAUAUAUACACACAAAUACAUAGUAUAUACACAUUCGUAAGUAUUUUAAUACAAUUGGCGUGCUGCACACAUACAUACAUAUACAUAUAUACAACUGCUCACAGUGGCGUGCAUUGCAAUAACGCGCGUUUAACGUUUGCUUUUCUGUGGGGUAGUUUACUGUACACCCCAAUUGCUGACUCAACGGGUGUGCUGCUCGCUAAUUAAUUAAUAAUAAUGUUCCUAUUGAAUGCCAUUCGAGCAUUUUAUAUGGUUUUAUGUCUCUACCAGUUCCCUGCUCAACACUGUCACCUGUUUUGGGUGGCACGCCAUAUGUCUGUCGGUGAAAAUAACAAUAACAAAUGUAUGUCGUAUACCCUGAACAAGGAAUACUAAAUUUGCCACGAAAUUUGUAACACCCAGAAGGGAACCUAUUAAAUUGAAUAUAAAUGAUCAGCUUGGCGAGCUGAGUCAACUGUCGGUGUAUUGCUCAGUUUUUGAGAUAUCGUUCUAAAAUUUUGCAUACGUCCUUUUUUACCACCAAGACAUUUAGCUAUCGUACAAACUUUAGUGCAUUCAAGUCCUUGUAUAGACAACUGUUUUAUUUGACAAGAUAUCUUCUCGAAAUUCGGCGCCGAUUAUUGUCCUAGGUAGAGCACAAUAUCUGAAUUGACCAAUCAAAAUCAAGCUCUUGUAUGGAAAACUUUUUUAUUUGAGAACAUACACAUCUUCAUGAAAUUUGUCCAAGGCUACAAACUCCGAGCAAAAUCUUUAGGUGGAAAUACGAACAACCUGACCGAUGAAAAUAAAUUUUUUGUAUGACAUUUUUUUUUAUUUGUGAAGGGUAUAAUAUGUAUGUAUGUUCGGUGUAACAGAAGUUAAGGUUUCAUUCUGUUUUUUUAAGUUUUUUUUAAGUUAAUAGUGAACACAAGCGAAAGUAGAGUUGAAAGUUUAAAACUUUCUACCAUUACAGUACGUAUUUUAGACAUUUGUAUGUAUGUAUAUGUAAUAUAUGUAUAUAGAGUAUGUAUUUAUAUACAAAUGUGUUCUAUUAAAUGUGUUCUAAAAUACCCAUUUCUGGUCAGCCUGACCAUUCGGCGAUUAUGUGCGCGCUUUAUAGAAAAUAUAUCAAGUGAAUAAAAGCACAUGUUGACCUGAUGGAAGAUAUACGUACAUAUGUAGGUACAUAUUAGAGUAAGCAGCCACACUUUUACCUUUUCAUGGUCACUAUACAGUAUUUUAUUGUUUUUGUAAAUAAAUAUAGACAAAACCACAAGUGCCUGUCAGUUAUUGACUAAAAAAUUAUUUAUUCACUUAUAUUACAGUAUUGUAGUAAGAAAUUACUACUAACUUGUUCACAUACACACAAACUGGUCUACAUAUGUAUGAAGGUGUCCCUAAUGAAGUUUUCUUUCGUUGCGCGACCACUUUUUGGUCAUUGCCGGACAUGUCAUGAGGACGGUAUAAAACCCGGCAUACACGCUGUGGUAUGAUGUUGCGUGCCGGCUUUUUGUUAUUUUCACUUUACACGAAACCUUUCUUAAUUAUAAAAAGAACAAAACAAAAACUGUGCGUUAAGUUGGAAAAUGAGGCAGGUCAAAUGUGUGUCAAUGCCACGCGUUUCCGGUGCAUGGGAAAUUCGCAAAUUGCGCCGACUGUCUAAAUUCGUGUGUCCUGAGCUGCACCUUACAAGUUGGAUAUAUUUUCGUAAGGCGCAGAGCUGUUGCGGAUUAAACAUGAAAUGAUGUCACAACUCACUUCUCCAACUGACAGAACAUUUUUAUCAUAACAGGCACGUGAGUUAAUUACAACCACAGUCAUAAAGGAAAUAAGUUUUAAAACAAUUAUGAAUCAAUUCUAAAUUGUCAUUAAGUUAGAAAAAGCAAUUGUUCGAAUUCAAAUUUAGUUAGUACAUAUUACUACUCUAUUUUGUACUAGGUGCAAAUCAAAAAACAAAAAUCAAAUAAGAAAUUAGAAAUUUAUAAGUUGGUCAAAUUGGGGUGGAAGGCCGAAAAUGUAACCAAAACAAAUACAAGGAGAAUACACCACAGUUGCUAUAAGAGUUUUUGACAUUUCAUAGCAGCGCUGCGCUUGGAAAUGCCAAAUCCACCAUAGCAGCGCGAUGUGGUGUCAGCUGUUAGAUGACAGUCACAUGACAGCUUUGGAUCGAUAAAUUUUUCGCUCACGGGUUCGCACAAUCAUGAAAAUUCACUUUUUUAAACGCUUUUUAAGCCAACUAUGCAAUAUGUUUGUCUAUUUCUGUGCAAAAAAUGCAUUUAGCAGACAUUUACAGUCGAACUGUACACCUUAAAAUCAUCCAAAAGCACUUUUAGUGGACGCACACAUGAUCCUGCCUGCUUUUAUACAAGCUUUAUAAGACCACCCAAAAGUCAUGUUUUAACCUUCAAUACAAUGUCGCAUAUUCAUUCAUACACUUUAUCCGAUUGGCAAUACACAUUACUGCAUAAUUAUGCCUUGAUUGCGCUAUUAAAUUGUACAACCAUGAAUUUAUACACGAUUCUCGAGUAGCCCACCAAAAGGCAAGACCACGAAUAUAAGCUAUUCCACAAAACAUUUGUUGCUCCCCUCCAUAUUUCCAUUCCACACUCACACACUCAUCUGACUUUGGCACGGGGCACUUACAUUUUUUUCGUGUUUCUUUUUAUGCGAAGCUGCGAAACCACACUUUAACUGCAACGGAAUUUUGCAAAACUAGCCGAAAAUUUGUGCGAUUCGAUGGUGCAAAGAAUUUGCAAUUGCGUUGGAAACUUUUCACUUACAAUUUUCUAUUGCCCAAAAA
Molecule: long non-coding RNA, 3557 nt
Organism: Bactrocera neohumeralis
Lineage: Eukaryota; Metazoa; Arthropoda; Insecta; Diptera; Tephritidae
Exons: 2
Source: RefSeq, a predicted model, not a curated record